CUCUUCCCCCUAUGUUUACUCAAGAAAACAGAGAGAUGUCUUAGCCAGACACUAGCCGCCCUCGCUUGGUCCCUUCCUUCUCUGUGCUCUGGCAGCUGGUGAUUUCUUCAUUCUCUCCAUCUGUCAAGAGAAUGGUUGAGGCACAUAGUCCCUCAAUUAGAAUGCAAGAGCGGCCACCUCCAUUGCAGUCUGCCUGGCUACCACUCACAGGAAGCUCCGUCUGGGGCUUCUUCAAAGAGUCAUUGUGCAAGCAGGAAGUCAGCAGCCCGUGAAACUAGAAGGAGGAUCAGAGAGCAGACAGAACCACACACAUGGCUUUUAACCGACUAUAUUUGUCUUCUUGACAGAGAGAGGUCAGUGUUUGUUUCUGUUGAUAGCCAUCAGGACCAAGGCAGGGGCUAGUCUUGUGUAAUAGAUUAAAACAUGAUAUCCUAAGGUAUCACUCUGUGAACUUUACUUUAUGUGAAAAAAAGACAGUCUUUACAGAUGUGAUGGAAUUAAAGACCCCCCACACACACACACAUACACACACACACACACACACACGCACGCACGCACGCACGCACGCACGCACGCACGCGACGCGUUGUGACAGGGUUUCAUAGCCCAGGUUGAUCUUAAACUACUGAUUCUCCUACCUCCACUUCCUGAGUGCUGGAAUUAGAGGCAUGUAUGAACAUAGCCAGUUCAUGCUGGAGAUCCCACCCAUGGCUUCACACACACUAGGAAGCACUUUACAAAAUGAGCUAUAGUCUCAGCUCUGAAGUUAAAGAUCUUAAGACAAUUUUUUUCUGCGUUAUCUAGGAGGACUGGCAAUGUAUCGACUAGCUCCUUAUAAGAAGCAAGAAGAGGGGGAUAGAGUAGAUGCACAGCAGAAAUUAGAGUGAUGAGGCCACAAGCUAAAGAAUGCGGGCACCAGAAUCUGCAAAAACAGAAGUGGCUUUCAAGUUAGGCAUGAUGGCUCACCCCUGGAAUCCCACCAUUCAGGAUGCUGAAGCAAGAAGAUCACUGAGUUUGAGGCCAGCCUGGAAGCACAAAAAGGAAACAUAUAGCAACCGAACGCUCAGCCCUGGAAAGUCUCCACAGCAGAUAUUUGGAUUGUGUGCUAACAGACAGCCAGGUGACCUGGAGCGGUUCCUGAUUCUGACAAACUGCUGUGGCAUCACAUGAAUAUAAGCAGCGUGAUUGUGCUUACAGAGGAAAGAGCACAACUUGAGUUCUCUCCUUCCACCAUUGGAUCCUGGGGACUGAACACACAUCAUCAGGCUUGAAUACCCACCUUGCUGAUCCAGUCUCAUAGACCUUUAAGUGGCUGUGAAAUCAAGCAAGAAGAAGAAAAAUGACAAGUGGGUGAGGUCUGACUUUCAAAGUAAAUCCAGAGCAAUCUUACAAACUGUUUUUGAUCACCAUUUGAAUGGUUCAGAGGAACUCCCGUUUUUGGAAGAGCCAAAUGCUGUGCCCAAUUGUUUUAUUUGAUUAAGCUUCAGGACUGUUUUUGUAAAGUGCUAUGGGAUAGACUUGGCAAAUUCAAGCAGUAACUCUGCUCCCCAUGUUAAGGACAACUAAAGAAAGCACUUCUUCUGUUUUUUGCAGUCUUCAAUUUGAGAAUGGUGAGAAAUACUCUUUUAAACACAUGACAUUCAUAUUAUUGGAUGAAAAAGCUAAGCAAAAAUCAUUCAAUCUUGUCUCUCUCUCUAGCCAUAUUAAUUUGAAAAAAAAAAUGUGUUUUUAGAAUUCAAUAAUCACCAUUUCCCUUUCCUUCAGCUCUGAUGUACCACGGAAUGCCAGAGAAUCAAGCAGCAAAGCUGUGGGUAAAAGGCACAGGGACGGCACAUCCAGUGGAUGGAGCAAAGAUUCAGUAGUUCAUCCCAACCCAAAUUUUGAUACUGAGAUUAGAAAGAGGCUUUUUAGAGCUGGCAUAGUUAGAUGGUCAUGGUCAAAUGCCUGCCUAACAUGCUAGAGACCCUGAGUUCCAUUCUCAGUGCUAGAGAUAAGUUUCAGGGUCACAAAGAAAGAGAGCACCACUCCAACUGAAGUAUCUGGACAAGGCAAACUUCACUCUUGAUCAAGAGGAUGUGCUCAGGGGAGUUAACACAGAAACAGGAAGUACACUUGGUUUUUAUGCAAAGGCAGCUGGUAUCUGUGUCAAUUCUUCAUUGGCUGGGAUCUGACCUCACAGUCUUAUUUGAUUGGCUAAUCUGAAAAGAAUUUGUGCACAGGAAAUGAAAGAGGGAGGGGAAAAGGGCGGUUGCUCCGAGGGGAAAAGGGUCACUGUUCCAGGCCACUGAAUUCCUGGAAUGUAGCUGCGAGCUUUUGUGUGAACAAAGGUUUUACUGGAUGUGGAGGGGGGUUAAAACUUUUGCAUAAAAGUCUCAAGAUAUA
Peromyscus leucopus (white-footed mouse) is the source of this 2382-nucleotide long non-coding RNA. RefSeq lists it as uncharacterized. The record is from RefSeq and is a predicted model, not a curated record. NCBI's taxonomy places the organism in Eukaryota, Metazoa, Chordata, Mammalia, Rodentia, Cricetidae. The transcript has 5 exons.